Molecule: ribosomal RNA, 441 nt
Filed under: uncultured bacterium
Lineage: Bacteria
Description: partial 16S ribosomal RNA
Rfam family: Bacterial small subunit ribosomal RNA
Source: RNAcentral
CCUACGGGGGACAGCAGUGGGGAAUAUUGCACAAUGGGGGAAACCCUGAUGCAGCAACGCCGCGUGAAGGAAGACGGUUUUCGGAUUGUAAACUUCUGUUCUUAGUGAAGAAUAAUGACAGUACCUAAGGAGGAAGCUCCGGCUAACUACGUGCCAGCAGCCGCGGUAAUACGUAGGGAGCGAGCGUUAUCCGGAAUUAUUGGGUGUAAAGGGUGCGUAGACGGGAAAACAAGUUAGUUGUGAAAUCCCUCGGCUUAACUGAGGAACUGCAACUAAAACUAUUUUUCUUGAGUGCAGGAGAGGUAAGUGGAAUUCCUAGUGUAGCGGUGAAAUGCGUAGAUAUUAGGAGGAACACCAGUGGCGAAGGCGACUUACUGGACUGUAACUGACGUUGAGGCACGAAAGUGUGGGGAGCAAACAGGAUUAGAUACCCGUGUAGUC